CAACGGUGAAACUCAAAGGAAUUGACGGGGGCCCGCACAAGCGGAGGAACAUGUGGUUUAAUUCGAUGAUACGCGAGGAACCUUACCCGGGCUCAAACGCCAAAGGACAGCCGUUGAAAGGCGGCCUCCCUCCGGGGUCUUUGGCGAGGUGCUGCAUGGUUGUCGUCAGCUCGUGCCGUGAGGUGUCGGCUUAAGUGCCAUAACGAGCGCAACCCCCAUCGACAGUUGCUAACGGGUAGAGCCGAGGACUCUGUCGAGACUGCCGGCGCAAGCUGCGAGGAAGGCGGGGAUGACGUCAAAUCAGCACGGCCCUUACGUCCGGGGCGACACACGUGUUACAAUGGCCGGUACAGCGGGAUGCCAGGGCGCGAGCCCGAGCGGAACCCGAAAACCGGUCUCAGUUCGGAUUGGAGUCUGCAACCCGACUCCAUGAAGCUGGAUUCGCUAGUAAUCGCGCAUCAGCCACGGCGCGGUGAAUACGUUCCCGGGCCUUGUACACACCGCCCGUCAAGCCAUGGGAG
Molecule: ribosomal RNA, 521 nt
Filed under: uncultured Bacteroidota bacterium
Lineage: Bacteria; Pseudomonadati; Bacteroidota
Description: bacterial SSU rRNA
Rfam family: Bacterial small subunit ribosomal RNA
Source: RNAcentral